RNAcentral lists this ribosomal RNA (492 nucleotides) under uncultured bacterium. RNAcentral's name for it is "partial 16S ribosomal RNA". It matches the Rfam family "Bacterial small subunit ribosomal RNA", at positions 29 to 507 of the family's 1533-position model. The record is from RNAcentral.
AGUGAACGCUGGCGGUAGGCCUAACACAUGCAAGUCGAACGGCAGCACAGUAAGAGCUUGCUCUUACGGGUGGCGAGUGGCGGACGGGUGAGGAAUACAUCGGAAUCUACUUUUUCGUGGGGGAUAACGUAGGGAAACUUACGCUAAUGCCGCAUACGACCUACGGGUGAAAGCAGGGGAUCUUCGGACCUUGCGCGAUUGAAUGAGCCGAUGUCGGAUUAGCUAGUUGGCGGGGUAAAGGCCCACCAAGGCGACGAUCCGUAGCUGGUCUGAGAGGAUGAUCAGCCACACUGGAACGGAGACACGGUCCAGACUCCUACGGGAGGCAGCAGUGGGGAAUAUUGGACAAAGGGCGCAAGCCUGAUCCAGCCAUACCGCGUGGGUGAAGAAGGCCUUCGGGUUGUAAAGCCCUUUUGUUGGGAAAGAAAAGCAGCAGGUUAAUACCCCGCUGUUCUGACGGUACCCAAAGAAUAAGCACCGGCUAACUUCGUG